This is a small nucleolar RNA of Aotus nancymaae (Ma's night monkey), 142 nucleotides long. NCBI's taxonomy places the organism in Eukaryota, Metazoa, Chordata, Mammalia, Primates, Aotidae. The record is from Ensembl.
GUCCAGGGUGAGUCCCUCUCCAAGGGGCUGACUAGUGCCCCUGUUAGGACAGUAGCAACUUGGAAUAAAAUCUGGCAUGUCUAAGGUCUUAAAGGAACCAGGGAUGCUUACUUCCUUUGUGUUCCUUUGGCGGGCUGCAGGG